UCGAGAGGCUUUGGCAAUGGGGGAAACCCUGACCAAGCGACGCCGCGUGGGGGAUGAAGGCUCUUGGGUUGUAAACCCCUUUUGUCGGGGAAGAAAUCCGAUCAGGUGAACAAUCUGGUCGAUUGACGGUACCCGACGAAUAAGCUCCGGCUAACCCCGUGCCAGCAGCCGCGGUAACACGGGGGGAGCAAGCGUUGUUCGGAAUCACUGGGCGUAAAGGGCGUGUAGGCGGCUCGGUAAGUGGAAUGUGAAAUGCCCCGGCUCACCCGGGGACCUGCAUCCCAAACUGCCGGGCUUGAGUAUGGGAGAGGAUGAGGGAAUUCCUGGUGUAGCGGUGAAAUGCGUAGAUAUCAGGAGGAACACCGGUGGCGAAGGCGGAUCUCUGGACCGGUUCUGACGCUGGGGAGCGAAAGCUAGGGGAGCAAACAGGAUUAGAUACCCUCGUAGUCCCUGAGCGGGCUGGCAAGGCGCAU
RNAcentral lists this ribosomal RNA (473 nucleotides) under uncultured bacterium. RNAcentral's name for it is "bacterial SSU rRNA". It matches the Rfam family "Bacterial small subunit ribosomal RNA", at positions 355 to 825 of the family's 1533-position model. The record is from RNAcentral.